Cnephaeus nilssonii (northern bat) is the source of this 72-nucleotide non-coding RNA. The record is from the annotation of a GenBank genome assembly. Lineage: Eukaryota; Metazoa; Chordata; Mammalia; Chiroptera; Vespertilionidae.
GCCGGUGUGACUCAGUUGGUUGGAGCAUUGUCUGGUACACCAAAACACUGGGUUCGAUUCCUGGUCAGGGCA